GAUGAAGAACGUAGCGAAAUGCGAUACGUAAUGUGAAUUGCAGAAUUCAGUGAAUCAUCGAAUCUUUGAACGCAUAUUGCGCUCUUUGGUAUUCCGAAGAGCAUGCUUGUUUGAGUAUCAGUAAACACCUCAAAAGACUUUCAUUUUUGAAAUGAUUUUGGACUUGAGCAAUCCCAACACCAGUCUUCACGGAUCGGCGGAGGGUUGCUUGAAAUGCAGGUGCAGCUGGACAUUCUCCUGAGCUAAAAGCAUAUCUAUUUAGUCCCGUCAAACGGAUUAUUACUUUUGCUGCAGCUAACAUAAAGGGAGUUUGAACAUUUUGGCUGACUGAUGCAGGAUUUCACAAGGGUCGGUAAAACGAUUUUUGUAAAACUCGAUCUCAAAUCAAGUAAGACUACCCGCUGAACUUAAGCAUAUCAAUAAGCGGAGGA
This 431-nucleotide unclassified non-coding RNA is filed under the name soil metagenome. Its description in RNAcentral is "partial contains 5.8S ribosomal RNA, internal transcribed spacer 2, and large subunit ribosomal RNA". The stretch from base 1 to 120 matches the Rfam family "5.8S ribosomal RNA", at positions 35 to 154 of the family's 154-position model. The record is from RNAcentral.